AAGUCGUAACAAGGUUUCCGUAGGUGAACCUGCGGAAGGAUCAUUAUUGAAAUAAACCUGAUGAGUUGUUGCUGGUUCUCUAGAGAGCAUUGUGCACGCUUGUCAUCUUUAUGUCUCCACCUGUGCACAUUUUGUAGACCUGGAUCACUCUCUGAAAUGCUAACCAGCAUUUUAGGUUGGAGGAAUUUGACUUUGUUGUCUUUCCUUGCAUUUCUAGGUCUAUGUUCUUUUUCAUAUAAUCUUAUUGUGAUAUAAUGGACCCUAUAUAAUAUAAACCUAUACAACUUUCAGCAACGGAUCUCUUGGCUCUCGCAUCGAUGAAGAACGCAGCGAAAUGCGAUAAGUAAUGUGAAUUGCAGAAUUCAGUGAAUCAUCGAAUCUUUGAACGCACCUUGCGCUCCUUGGUAUUCCGAGGAGCAUGCCUGUUUGAGUGUCAUUAAUAUAUCAACCUCUUCAAAUUUUGAGAGUGUUUGGAUGUGGGGGGUGUUAUUUUGCUGGCCUUCUCCAAGGUCAGCUCCCCUGAAAUGUAUUAGCGGAACAAUUUGUUGACCGUUCAUUGGUGUGAUAGCAUAUCUACGCUAUUGACGUGAAGCAAGUUCAGCUUAUAACAGUCCAUUGACUUGGACAAUUCUCUAUUUAUUAAUGUGACCUCAAAUCAGGUAGGACUACCCGCUGAACUUAA
Molecule: ribosomal RNA, 682 nt
Filed under: uncultured Cortinarius
Lineage: Eukaryota; Fungi; Basidiomycota; Agaricomycetes; Agaricales; Cortinariaceae
Description: eukaryotic LSU rRNA
Rfam family: 5.8S ribosomal RNA (bases 283-436)
Source: RNAcentral